RNAcentral lists this ribosomal RNA (305 nucleotides) under uncultured bacterium. Its description in RNAcentral is "partial 16S ribosomal RNA". It matches the Rfam family "Bacterial small subunit ribosomal RNA", at positions 505 to 807 of the family's 1533-position model. The record is from RNAcentral.
ACAUCAGUCGCCACGGGAAUACAGAGGGUGCAAGCGUUAAUCGGAAUUACUGGGCGUAAAGCGCGCGUAGGUGGUUUGUUAAGUUGGAUGUGAAAUCCCCGGGCUCAACCUGGGAACUGCAUCCAAAACUGGCAAGCUAGAGUAUGGUAGAGGGUGGUGGAAUUUCCUGUGUAGCGGUGAAAUGCGUAGAUAUAGGAAGGAACACCAGUGGCGAAGGCGACCACCUGGACUGAUACUGACACUGAGGUGCGAAAGCGUGGGGAGCAAACAGGAUUAGAUACCCGAGUAGUCCCUGUCUCUUAUAC